CCUAUAGUCUCUAACCCAGUCAAACCCAAUCAUUGCAGAUAACAUGUGCAUCAAUAAACAAGCUCAUCAGCUGAGGGCAUCGCUAACGUUGUUCUUAACACUUAUCUUGUGGAUCAAAUUGAAGAUGUAUUCUACCAACAAGUUCUCCUAUCUACUUUAGUGCAAUUUUAGGUGACUAGUGCUAUCUUAAUGUUGAAAAAUAUGUCUCAAAAAGCCAA
This 218-nucleotide long non-coding RNA is filed under the name Elaeis guineensis (African oil palm). RNAcentral describes it as "long non-coding RNA (EGUI_LNC033989)". Lineage: Eukaryota; Viridiplantae; Streptophyta; Magnoliopsida; Arecales; Arecaceae. The record is from RNAcentral.